UAUGAUUAAUUGUUCAAUACUUUGUAUCUUCUAGAAUGUGGAUAGCCUACAUCUCCGAUCUGGAAUACCAAGAGAGAAACAAGCAGAAUUGCAUGGGAACUCCUUCAGGGAAAUUUGCUCCAAAUGUAGAGUGGAGUAUUUGUGGGAUUUUGAGGUGGAGACUAUUGGGUUGAAGAAGACAUCAAGGAGCUGUUCUGAUGUGAAGUGUGCGGCAAAACUUAAGGAUACUGUUCUUGAUUGGGAGGAUGUUUUGCCCCCGACAGAGAUGAAUGCAGCUGAGAAACAUUGUCGAAUGGCUGAUAUAGUAUUGUGUUUGGGGACAAGGUAGAUCUUUAGGAUCAUACAUCUUAUUGUGCAUGUUAUUUCUUACUUAUGGUUA
Molecule: non-coding RNA, 379 nt
Organism: Camellia sinensis
Lineage: Eukaryota; Viridiplantae; Streptophyta; Magnoliopsida; Ericales; Theaceae
Source: RefSeq, a predicted model, not a curated record